AUGGCGCCAUCCGAGUCCCAGCAUCUCGCCUUGUUCCUCGCCAUCGUCAUCACCGCCGCCACGCUGUUCCCCUCGGCGGCCGCCGUCCCUGCCAAGGCCCCUGCUCCCUCCGCCAGCAACGAUGCAGUAGCAAAACCAUUGGCAUGGUGUAUGAUUCCUUGCCUUCCGAUCCUGCCACCCAUAUUGUGUGUACCACCGAUAUUCUGUCCCCCAACGCCUAGCGCUCCACCACCGCCAUCCCCUUUCAAGCCGCACCCGAAGGAGUGCCUACCGUCACUGAUGGGACUGAUGCCAUGUAAGGAUUUCCUCACCAACAGCACCGCGCCCAAGCCUCCACGCCAAGGCAAGUGCUGUGACGGCGUCCGGUCACUCUUCCAAAACUUUCCCAUCUGCCUUUGCCACGUGUUCAACGGCGGCGACCUUGACAAACUCAUGUCGGCACCCAUCGAUGGAGGCCAACUCUUUGGUCUCUCGUCUGCCUGUAACACCAGUCCGAGUGACUUUGUACCCUGCUACG
RNAcentral lists this ribosomal RNA (517 nucleotides) under Triticum aestivum (bread wheat). Its description in RNAcentral is "partial small subunit ribosomal RNA". The record is from RNAcentral. Lineage: Eukaryota; Viridiplantae; Streptophyta; Magnoliopsida; Poales; Poaceae.